RNAcentral lists this unclassified non-coding RNA (301 nucleotides) under Hevea brasiliensis (rubber tree). The record is from RNAcentral. Lineage: Eukaryota; Viridiplantae; Streptophyta; Magnoliopsida; Malpighiales; Euphorbiaceae.
GGGGAAUUAGGAGGAGGACCCACAUCGUACAGUAAAAUUCACGCGGAGUGAAAAGCAAUCAAAGAAAAGUCCAAAAGGGGAACUCAUUGUGCCUCAUUGGUGGUGGUGGGGCAGAUCUGAUUGUGUUGGGUUGCUUUUUCACCGAGGCUUGUCGCUGUGUCGGAGAAGGCUCUGCUCUUUUUCUUUUUCAAAUUUUUUUGUUCUUUCGCGCCUGAUUCUCCGUGGCCUUGUCACCUUAUGUGACCAAUUUUUUGUCAUGUUGUUAAAGAUAGCCCACAUCCUCUGCCGCUCCAAAGCUACA